GAGCUACGGCUAAUUAACUUUAAUUAAAACUCUUUGAAUGACCUAGCAUUGACAAUGUUGGUCUACUAAUUAGUACUGCGUAUAAUUGUACGUCUAUACGCUUACUUAUGCUAUCAUCCAACAAAUAGUUCAAUCACAAUGUACACAUAGUAUAAUGUAUCCUCAUUAAUUCUACAAGAUAUCUUAUGUUAAUGAUUUAAUAAUUUAUAAGGUCUUUCUUAAGUCAUAAACACUUAUUAGAUCCUUAAACAAUUUAUUAUAAUUAUUUAAUUAUUGAGUCAUUUAAAUUAUCUUUAUUUAUUAACUCUAUCUUCAUUUAAUUACCAUUUAAUAUUAGUUAAAUAGUAAUUAAUUAAUUACCUUUAGUUAUUAUUUAAUAAAUAAUAGCUAAUUACAUCUACUUAUUAUUUAAUGUUAAUUAAACAAUAAAUAAUUACAUUAUUAACAUUAUUUGUCUUUAAUUAUUAUUUAAUAUUAAUUAAGUAAUAAUUAAUUAUUUAUUUAUCCUCGAAUAAUAAAUAAUUGCUUUAUUUUCUUCAUUAGUCUUUAAUUAUUCAUUAAUAAAUGAAUAGUUAAUUAACAUUGUCCUUAUUUAGUAUUAAUUAUUUAUCCUUAAAUAAUAAAUAAUUAAUUCACUUCAUAAGUCUUCUAUUAUUCUUUCUUAUUAAUCUAAGAAUAAUUAAUUAUCAUUUGUUCUUAUUUAUUAUUUAAUAUUAACUAAAUAAUAAAUAAUUAUUUUAUAAAUUUUAUGUCAAUGUAAUUAAGUAAUUAAAUUAUUCUUACUUAAUCUUACUUAAGCAUUCUUUAAUCAUUAAUUUAAUAUUAAUUAAUCAAUGGUUUAACUUUAUUUUUUAUUUAAUCUUAAUUAAAUAAUCAAUAGUUACUUUAUUAAUAUUAUCUCUACUUAAUUAUAACCUAAUAUUACUUAGAUAAUAAUUAAAUAAUUAAUUACACUCAAAUUACAUGUGCUUAGUUUAAUAAUCAUUUAACGGCAUUAAAAUUUAUAAAUUAGUAAGUUUUAAAUGAGUUUAAACCACUAAUUACUAAAUAAUUACAUAACUGUCCCGAAAAAUUAUGAAUUAAAUAUCUUAAUAUUCUUCAGAAUUUUAGAAAAAUUUGGGUCCAAGAACCAUCUCCGGAACCGGCCAAAAACUGGUCGUACCGGUCAUCGAAAAAUUCUGGUCGGUUCGGCUAAUAGUUGAACCGGGAGUAGGUUUCCUAAAAUUUUCUGAUUUUUCCAAAUUUGGGGUCCUUCACUAAAACUUAAAUAAAAUAAAAUCUAUAACUCCGAUUUAGGUCCAAUUGGUCUCGUUGAAUUCAUAACUUCCUGAACUAUAAUUUUCAUUCAUCAAAUAACAAAUUUGGUUUUGUUUUUGUCCCGAAAAAUAGCCCAGAAGUGGUUGUUCAUGCAACAAGCUUUCAUAGUUGCAGUGUUUUAGUAAUAAAUCCAUAUCUUGCUCAUUUUUUAACAUUUUUACAUGUUUCCAAAGAGGUUUUGCCCUCAACUCAUAGUUCUAGUAUACCAAGAAACAAAAUCACAAAAACCAUUUGUAAAUUUCAAAAUGAAAAGCAUGGAUCACCCAUUUUGAAUAAAUUUUUCUUAAAAACUACUUUAACUUCUUUUUCCCCAAAUUUCCAACACAAACUUAUAUAUAUGAACAAGUUAAAUAUAUUAUACUCAAGAUUUAUCAUUCUCAUAGGUUUCUAGCCUUUUAGAACUUGGACAUCCAUAAACCCAUCACAAGAUUACAUAAAACAUACAAAACAUAAAACUAAGGUUUGAUUUUUCUUACCUAGUCUUGUGGGGUGUCCUCCUCUUCUUUCCAAACUAAGUUAGGAACUUGGGAUGCAUAAACAACUUACUCCUUUUCCUCCCCAAGAAUUGAACCUCUCUCUCUCUCUCUCUUUUUCUCUCUUUGUGUUUUGCUAGUUGAGAGAAAAUAAAAGAAAAAGAAUAGUGGAGAGAAUGAAAAAUGAAAUGAAGAUGUGGUGAAAUGAAAUGGGAUGCCGUAUUUAAGCUAAUAUCCCCCAUGUUCUUUUUGUCCCUUGGAUAAAAGGCUUAGCCUUAUCUCUUCCUAAUCUUGGUUAAUCAUGUCAUUAAAGAUGCUAAUUAGAUUUUCCACCAAUGAGAGCAUGACACACUUGUCCUUGUUGUAAGAACUUCCACUUAAGGAACAUGAUUAGCAUAAUCUUUUUGCCUUAAAAGGCUUAAUGUGGCCGGUUUUCCCAUGCCCAAUAUCCCCUCCAUUUUGCUUUUAUUUUAUUACACAAAUUUGAAUAAUCAAAGGUCUAAAAUACCCUUAAUCAAGUGGGCAAAAUAUGGGCUUGUAUUUUAUUUUAUUUUUGGGCUCUCCUUUACUUGUUUUGGACUAUGUAAUAAACAUAGUUUAACAAUAUUAAUAUAAAUUACCCUAAUUGUUUAUUUAGGGUUUUCAUUUCCAAUCUUAUGGAAUUUAAUUACUUACACAUAUCUCUUUAACUUGUAACCUAGUUAGGUUUACUAUAAUUAGGUUUAAAAUUAUUAAUCACUUACAAUAAUAAAAUUAUCCACUUAAGUUAGUAUACAUAUUAAAUACUAACCAUUCCUUAUUACCAUAACCCUUAGGUUAUUUAAUUGUCUCACCAAAUGUAUAAUUAGGUUAUGAAGCUUUCAUUUUUAAUUAAAUCUAUAAAUGUAUAUAUCCAUAACUAUAGUAUAUAUAUUUAUUUAAUUAGUCAUACACCACUUCACAUAUGUUAUCACAUAUUAAAUCACUACAUAGCACAAAGUUUUAAAUAUUAAUAAUGUACAUAAAUAUAAAUUGACCUGAAAUUCCUAGUUAUUACAAUCUUCGUCCUUCUCUUGUGCCUCUUUAACCUUGUCUUAUAAAGUCGGGCUCGCUGCCACUAUAAAUAAUUUUUCGUUGGUCUCUAUCGGAUACUUAACCUCCAAGUCCAGUCGUUCGAAAUCAUCAAUUCCUCUUGAACGGUCAACUUCAUUAACUUCUCCCUGCCUUUUCUGCUCAGGGCAUCUGCCACUACAUUUGCUUUGCUUGGAUGGUACAAAAUCUCACAAUCAUAAUCUUUGAUCAAUUCCAGUCAUCGGCGCUGCCUCAUGUUUAGCUCUUUCUGUGUGAAGAUAUACUUAAGACUUUUGUGAUCUGUAUAUAUCUCACAUUUCUCACCAUAUAAAAAAUUCCUCCAAAUCUUUAAGGCAAAAACUACUGCUGCUAACUCCAGGUCAUGAGUUGGAUAACCCUUCUCAUAGUCCUUCAGCUGACGUUAAGCGUACGCAAUGACCUUGUCAUGCUACAUCAGCACACAACCAAGACCAAUGUAGCACCCAACCAAGACCCUUGCUGACGCAUCACUAUACACUACAAAUCCUCUCGUGUCGUCUAGUAAAGCCAACACAUGUGAUUAACUAAGCCUCUUCUUCAGUUUCAGGAAACUCUCCUCACAUUUCUCCGUCCAAACGAACUUCACCGUCUUUCUAGUAAGAUUGGUCAACGGCGAUGUUACCUUCGAAAAAUCCUGGAUGAAUCUCCAAUAGUAUCCUGCUAAUCCCAAGAAACUCCUAAUUUCUAUCGGUGUCUUCGGCUACUCCCAAUUGAUAAUUGCUUCUACCUUUGCUAGAUCCACCAAAACACCAUCCUUGUCGAUAACGUGCCCCAAAAACUGCACUUUCUGCAACUAAAAUUCACACUUGGAGAAUUUUACAUACAACUUCUCCCUUCUCAGCGUCUCCAACACUAUCCUUAGAUGUUCAGCGUGAUCUUCCUCUGUCUCUGAAUACACUAGAAUGUCAUUGAUGAACACGAUAACUACCUUAUCCAAAUACUGCUUGAACAUUUUGUUCAUCAAGUCUAUGAAUGCUGCUGGUGCAUUCGUCAGCCCAAAUAACAUUACCAGAAACUCAAAGUGUCUCUACCGAGUUCUGAAUGCUGUCUUUGGAAUUUCCUCCUGCCUCACCUUCAGUUAGUGAUAAUCGGUCCUCAAGUCGAUUUUCAAAAAGUAUUUCACCCCCUUCAACUGAUCAAACAAAUCGUCGAUCCUGGGCAACGGGUACUUGUUCUUAAUGGUGACCUUGUUCAACUCUCGGUAGUCGAUACAAAGCCUUAAUGACUCAUCUUUCUUCUUUACGAAUAAGACUGGUGCUACCCAUGGUGAUACGCUCGGUCGAAUGUAUCCCUUAUCUAACAACUCUUAUAAUUAAACCAUCAGUUCUUUCAUUUCUACCGAAGUCAUACAAUACGGCGCUUUAGAUACCGGUAAUGUCCUUGGUGCCAAGUCAAUAACAAACUCUACCUCCUUAUCCUGUGGCAAUCCCGAAAUCUCAUCUAGGAAGACAUCAACGAAUUCCCUUACAAUAGGUACAUGCCCCAGUUCACCCUCGACUCUGCAAGUAUCCACAACGUUAGCCAAAUAACCUAUUCAACCCUUCCUAAGCAACUUUUUUGCUUGCAUCAUCGUCAAACAACAAGAUUGUCUCGGUGAUUUACUACUAUGAAAUACCGCCUUUGACUUAUUCGAAGUCUUCAAGUGUACGCACUUUUUCUUACAAUCAAUGAUCGCUCCGUGACUUGAUAACCAAUCCAUCCCAAGGAUUACAUUAAACUCUCCUAGACGAAUCGGUAUCAAAUCCAUGUUAAGCUUAAACCCUCUCAAAUCGGCACAACAAUUUCUAUGAAUAUAGUCUACAGGGAUAAUUUAUUUGUUCGCUACUUUUACAUUCAUUGGGUGUUGUAAUAGUUCACGAUGUAAAUUCAAUCUUUGAGCAAAUUCAUCAGAUACAAAAUAACAUGAAGCUCUCGAAUCGAAUAACUUAUAGGCAUUUAUAUUGUUGAUUAGAAUUAUACCUGACACCACCUCCCUCGAUACAACAACAUCUUACACUGUCAUGUUGAAGGUUCUCGUUGUUGGCUUGUUUGGCUGGGUUGGUCCUCCACUAGUUGCCCUAGUGUUUUGCCCCUAUUGCCGCUUCCACCAUCCGUGCUUUUCUUCCUUGGACAGUCCUUGAUCUGAUGUCCUGCUUCUCCACCUUGGGACAAUUGGGUGAGAUAUGCCCUUCUUGUCCACAGGUAUAACAGACCAUUUUUCCUUUCAUACACUCUCCCGAGUGACCCUUUCCACAAUUCCCACAUACCUGAUUCUUCUGUUGCACACUUCCUUGCUGAAUCUCCAAAUUAUUGAAACCGUUGCUCCACUUAUGUUUCUUUUUGUUGCUGCCACCACUGCCAACAUUCUGGUUUCCACCUUCUAUUCUCUUCUUGUUCUUCUCCCGAUUGUACUUUGAGACUGCUUCACUCCUGCCUUUAGCUGUGAGAGCUUUCUCCAACAGAGUUGAGAAUAACGUAAUUUAUAAAACUGCUACCUUGCUAUAGAUCCACGGCUUUAACCUAUUUUUGAAUCUUCUUGUUUUCCUCACCUUCGUGUCCACCUGAUGUAGAGCGAAUCUGGCCAAUUCAUUAAAUUUUGUACUGUACUCUGACACUGACAUAUUAUCUUGUUUUAGCUCUAAAAACUUGAUCUCCAUUUUCGUUUACGUACUCUAAUUGGUUUAUGCUUAGAGUACUAAUUCCCUUAGAGUACGUAAACGAAAAUGGAGAUCAAGUAUGAAGAAUCAGGUAUGUGGGAAUUGUGGAAAGGGUCACUCGGGAGAGUGUAUGAAAGGAAAAAUGGUCUGUUAUACCUGUGGACAAGAAGGGCAUAUAUCACGAUUCCAGUUCCAGCUUUGCUCUAGUUGGUUUCCCACAAAAAGUUAACCUCACCCUUUAUCCUGGUCCUCUCCAGCCAAAUAACCUAUACAACCCUUCUUAAGAAACUUCCUUGCUUGCAUCAUCGUCAGACAACAAGAUUGUCUAGGCGAUUUGCUGCCAUGAAAUACCACCUUUGACUUAUUCGGAGUCUUUAGGUGUACGCACUUUUUCUUACAGUCAAUGACCGCUCUGUGACUUGACAACCAAUCCAUCCCGAGAAUUACAUCAAACUCUCCAAGACGAAUCGGUAUCAAAUCCACGUUGAGCUUAAACCCUCUUACAUCUGCACAACAAUUCUUAUAUAUGUAGUCUACAGGGAUAAUUUCUUUGUUUGCUACUUCUACAUUCAUUGGGUUUUCUAAUAAUUCGCGAGGUAAACUUAAUCUUUGAGCAAAUUCAUCAGAUAUGAAAAAACAUGAAGCUCCCGAAUCGAAUAACACAUAGGCAUUUAUAUCGUUGAUCGGAAUUAUACCUGACACCACCUCCCUGGAUGCCACGGCAUCUUGCACUGUCAUAUUGAAGGUCCUCGUUGUCGGCUUGCUUGGCUGGGCUGGUCCUCCACUGGUUGUCCUAGUGUUAUUUCCCCUGUUGCCGUUUCUACCAUCCGUGCUUUUCUUCUUCGGGCAAUCCUUGAUCUGAUGUCCCACUUCACCACAGUUAAAGCAACCUCCUUUCUUCACCUUAGGAUAAUUGGGUGAGGUAUGUCCUUCUUGUCCACAGGUAUAACAUACCAUUUUUCCUUUCAAGCACUCUCCCGAGUGACCCUUUCCACAGUUUCCACACACCGACUUCUUUUGUUGCACACUUCCUUGCUGAAUCUCCAAAUUACUACCCCCACUGCUCCAUUUCUGCUUCUUGUUGUUGCUACCGCCACUGCUAACAUUCUGAUUCCCACCUUCUACUUUCUUCUUGUUCUUCUCCCGAUUGUACUUUGAGACCGCUUCGCUUCCACCUUCCCGCUUUUAGAGCUUUCUCCAACAAAGUUGAGAAUGACGUGAUUUGCAAAACCACUACCUUACUGUAAAUCCACGGCUUUAGUCCAUUUUUGUACCUUCUUACUUUCCUCACCUCCGUGUCCACCUGAUGUGGAGUGAAUCAGGCCAAUUCAUUGAACUUCGCAGCGUACUCUGACACUGACAUAUUCUCCUGUUUCAAUUCCAAAAACUUGACCUCCAUUCUCGCUUGUGUACUCUCAGGGAAGUAGUUCUCAAAGAACAACUUCUUGAACGCUUCCCAAGCCACGAUCCCAGUCCCGGCUUUGUUCUGUUUGGCCUCCCACCAAUAGUUAGCCUCACGCUUCAUUAAGUAGGUAGCAAAGAUUGUCUUCUGCUCUUCUGCUACUCUAGCAAUAACGAAGGCCUUCUCAAUCUCCUUUAUCCAUGUCUGGGCCUCUAUCAGGUCUGUUGUUCCUCUAAACUCCGGCGGUCCUACUGCCUUGAAGUCCUUAAAGUUGACUAAUUGGCUUCCCGCCUGAAUUCCUGCAGGUUGAGCUUGAUUCUUCAUAGCUUCAGCCAUCAUGUUGAUAAAGUCUUGCAUUGGGUUCGAUUGAGCUCCCGCUGCAUUAUUAACUGACUCUUCGAUCUCUUGGUUCCUUAGUACUCGUCUGGGCGGCAUUAUCUAGUGAAACAAAAUUCUAACACGUUACUCGGGUUUUAUUAUCAUAUAAGUACAUAGCAUGUAACACGCUACUGUAUUCAAACAAUCAUAUGAUCAUUAUGUGAGAGUUUUUAAGUUACCAAGAUUUGGAAGUCUUUCUCCCUGAUUAGUGGGUUAAGUUUGUUUUUAUAAAUUUCCAAAUCAGUCUACUGGAUUCACAUAACAUUAAAUAGGCAAUUUACUAUUUAAAUUUUUCAACACAUCAUAAUAAUAAUGCAUUUAUAUUCAUAUACCAAUCUUCAGUGUCUCACUCACAUGAUUAAUACAUGUAUAUUUUUAUAAAUGCUACUAUCCCAUUUAAACACAAAAGAUAGGAUUCACUCAAAAUGAUACUUCCCUAUGAACACAAAUAGGGAUACUACCUACUACCUCACACCUGCUGAGGUUUACAUCAUCAUAAAACCCUAUUACACAAAAAGGGGUACUAAUGCAUUUAUCUACAACUGGGACAUCACAUAAUCAUCACUGGUGGCCCUAUUGGGUCACCUGCAUAGGCUCCUGGGGAAACAAACCCUCCAUAACCCUAUGCCGAACGGAUCAGCUCGACUCCCCUAUCUCCUCGUGAGGCCUGACACUCACCCCCUUCUGGCUCUGGAAGGCUGCAUCAAGCGCUAGCCCUAAUGUCUCUAUCCUGGUAUCUUUUGCCAGCAGCUCACCCUCCAACUGGUCGACCCUCGUAACGGCAUUGUACCAAACUUCAUCCAUCCUAGUCCUCUCCACCCUUUCCAGCUCAAGAUCAGCAAUCAAAGCCUGCAGCUGCACCCUCAGCAUCCCAACUUGCAACUGGGACUCGUCCAACUUCCCUUUCUGCUCGACCACCUCCAUCUGGGCUUGAAAAGCUGCAUCCUUGUAUUGACUUCCGGUGAAUUGGAGGGUGUGGUUUUCAACCUCUAAUUCACCCACUCUGUCUUCUAGUUGACUGAUUCUCCUCAGCAAAUCCUCUACCGGAGGACCAUGAGGGAUAUCUCCGGUGACCUCAUGCUCAAUGGUCUCCUGAUCUACUGAGUGACUGCCCUAGCGCUCGUCAGACAUCCUACAAACACCAUAAAUAAAACCAACAUCAGUACCACAAUAAAAUAUAUUUAUUGAUAAAAUGAAAUAAUAUUUUAUUAAGUACAACACAAACUCGACGAAUUUCCACAAUCCAUCUCCUAACAUACUCUAUAAAGUUUUCUACUAAGGUUAUAACCUAGGUUUCGCAUUCCUAAUGUUUAUAACCUACAGCUUUGAUACCAACUUGUGACGCCCCCAAAUCCAGGUUCUCUAACCUCAGAUUCGGUGCUCACGAUCUAUCAUCAUCAUAAGCAUUCUAUAACUAUUACGAAAUAACAAACAUACAUUGUUCAUUAUAAUAAAGUCUCAUAACAUGGUCCCAAGGUCUUCAUAACCUUAACUUUAAACACACCAUUCAAUAUACAAAAAUUUUACUUAAAAAAUUCCAUCAGAUAAUAAUUAAAUUAACAUUCAUUCUAAACUACUCCUGGAUCUUGCCCUUGCCUUUGCCAUUCUCCUUCGUGUUAGAUCCUUUGGGCUUAACUGAAAUAGAUGUCAUGAUAUAGCAAGAAUAAGCAACUAAUUUGCUUCGCAAGUUUAUAUACAAGGGAGAUAUAUCAUGACUUAGAAAGAAAUAUUGCGUUCAAUGUUCAACAAUAGUAUAAGAUUGUGAAGGAACAUGAAUUAAUAAUCAACAAUUGAAUAUUCGAUAAUUAAAUUACAUGAACUGAGUGGUUUUGAAAUAACCAUGAACAUUUGCCAAGGUGCUCAGUUAUUUAAAUUGGACCUCUUAAUAAGUUUUGGUAUUCAAGGGGAUCAGCCUUUCAUACCUCGUGAUUUAUGCAUAAACACUUAAUAAUCCGGCAUUGAUAUCAUGCCUUAAUCAAAUUCGUCCUUUUCUCAGUCAAGAGUUCUUAUCAUAUCAAUUUAAUAAGAACAACUAUUUAAAAUACAUUUGAUUUAACAAAUUUAGACAUGCUUGAUCUAGCUGAUACAACUAGCAUAGAUCUAUCUCAUAAACAGUUCGUGAAUGAAAGAACUUUAAUUUAAUUCACAAUUCAAUAAUAGUAGAACAGGAAUUCAAUUGCACAAAGUGCGAAUUUCAAUAAUCAAAAUAGAUAUGAAUAAUCAUCAAUAAUUAUUCACUAACAUGCUUUGAAAAUAAUAACUCGAGUUUGAGUUAGGAAACUUUCCUCGUCGGUAGAUUACGGCUAUGCAAUUAAAUUAUAUCCACUAUGCAGUUAAAUUAUCUUCUUUUGAGAGACCUAUAGUUAAUCUUUCAAUUAGUCAUAGCAUAACAUUAGAGUAUGCAAUCAAAUAGAUAUUAUACAUUACAUUUAGUUUUUAUAAACAUUAUCCUGCCUAGAUAAUGUUACUAUUAAAUAACAACUUAAUAUUAUUAAUCUUGAUAAUAUUUAAUUCACCUCUUAGUAUUAUUAGUUCCCUAAUAAUACUUUCAUUCGCUUACUAAUAUUAUUAACAUCUUAAUAAUAUUUUAAUACCUUACUAAUAUUAUUAAUCAUCUUAAUAAUAUUUUAAUCAUGCAUUAAUAUUAUUACCUUAAUAAUAUCUUACUUAUGCUUUAGUAACAUUAAUAAAUUAAUAAUACUUUUAAUUAUUUAUUAAUAUUUUAUUCAUUUACUAAUAUUAUUAAUCAUUUAAUAAUAUUUUAUUCAUUUACUAAUAUUAUUAAUCAUUUAAUAAUACUUUAUGCAUUUAUUAAUGCUUAAAUUAAAUAUUAUUAAUCAUUUAAUAGUAUUUUAUAGAAAUUUUAAUCUUAAUAUUUUUAUUUACUUAACAAUAUCAUAUUCUAAUAUUAUUAAUAUCAUAAUAAUAUUUUAAUAAAGUUUUAAUCUUAAUAUUUUUAUUUACUUAACAAUAUCAUAUUCUAAUAUUAUUAAUAUCAUAAUAAUAUUUUAAUAAUUUAAUGGAUUAAUAAACAAUUUAUUCUAAUUGUUCACCAUUUAUUAAACCUAUUAUUUAAUAUCCAUAAAAGGUCAUAAAUGAUAUUUCUUAUCAUAAAUUACCAAAAUUCCCUAAGAUAGUCAUGAUGUAACAUAUUAUGAGUAUUCAAGCAUAAAAAUCACAUUUUUAUUAUUAAAGACAUCAUUUAGCUAUUUAUUUCCUUUUAUUCAUAACUUAAUCAUUUUUUGGAAAAAUAGCAAACUGACUCCAAAAAAUCUCAACUUCUGGAUUUUGGCAAAAUAUGAACCAACAAUGAUCCCCUAAUUUUUUUGGAAUUUUAGAAAAUGAUUUACUAUUUUUAAAGUGCCCAAACACUCGGAUCUUGCUCUAUUUUUCAUAAAUUGAGUUUUGCUCAGAAAAAUAUGAAAUUUUCAGUGUAUGCUCUCCUAACAUACAUGAACCUACUGUAAAAAUUUCUGAAUUUUUUAGUGUAUACACAAUGAGAUAUUCGAAGGUUAAUAUUUUGGAGUAACUAUUUUAGGAUUUUGAACCCUUAACAAUCAAAGUGGACUGUUUUGGGGAAAACAGUCCCAAAGCUUUCAAAACUUACUAGAUUUGUGUUCUAUCACUUGGGUUUACUAGGUAACUCAUGUAUCUAGCACCCCCUUUUGAUGGAUCACAAAUCCAAGUUGGAAAACUUGAGUUACACAAGAUUUAGUGGAAGAAAAAUAAGAGUUUUCACCCUUGGAGAACAUAUGCUCAUAUUCUUUCUCUAAGCCUUUGAUCUAACACUCAAGAUACUUAGUUCUAUACGUGAUGAUAUGUAGAACUAGGGUAUUUUGAGUAUUUGCUCAUAACCCCAACAAAACUCAAGCUAUAAAACAAAGUAGAAGAAGAAGAUGAAAGUUAGGUUAUACCUUGAUUUAUUGGCUACCUUCCUUGAUUUACCAAAGUAGUAUCUAAACUUAGGAUGCAUGAACAAACUAGCACUCCUCUCUCUCUCUCUAUGGCCGAACCUCUCUCUUUUCUCUCUCUUGAAGUUGCUAGCUUGGGAGAAAAAGUUAAAAGAAGAAGAAUGAGAGAAAGUGGAGUAUUCUAGCAAAUGAGAAGAUUGAUUCCUUAUUAUCCCCCAUACUUUCCUUGACCCAUGGAUAAAAGCUUUGCCUUAUCACUUCAAUUAGUCUAAUCAUGAUUAAGGGUGCUUAAAAGAGUGGCAACCAAUGGGAGCUUGACAAACAUGUCCUUGUGUGUAAGAGUUACUACUAAUGGACAUUGAUUAGCUUAAACAUCUUGCCAUAAAAAGCCUAAUUGGCCAGUCCCUUUACCCCCAUUUUAUCUCCCAAUUUGCUUUUAUUUUAAUGCACAAAUUUGAUUAAUCAAAAGUCUAAAAUACCCUUAAUCAAGUGGGCUAAGUAUUGGUUUGCAUGUUAUUUCAUUUGGGCUCCCUCCUUAAUUGUUUUGGGCUAUGUAAUAAACAUAGUCUAGCAAUUUUAAUAUAUGUUACCUAAUUUGAUUAUUUAGGGUUUCCAUUCCUAAUAUUAUGAAAUUUAAUUGCCUACACAUGUGACUUUAGCUCAUAACCUAAUUAGAUUUACAAGAAUUAGGUUUAAAAUUAUUAGUCACUUGAAAUAAUAAGUUUACCCACUUAAGUUAGUAUACAUAUUAAAUACUAACUUUUCCUUAUUACCAUAACCCUUAGGUUAUUUAAUUGUCUCACCUAAUGUAUAAUUAGGUUACGAAGCUUUCAUUUUUAAUGAAAUCUAUAAAUGUAUAUAUCCAUAACUAUAGCAUAUAUGUUAAUUGACUCAUGCACCACUUCACAUAGGUUGUCACAUAUUAAAUCACUGUAUAACACAAAAUUUUAAAUAUCAAUAAUGUACAUACAUAUAUAGUGACUUAAAAUUCACGGUUAUUACAAUUGAUUCCAUUGGAGUGUUAUAGUUCAAAGUCUAUUUGACUAGCAGUUAUUCUAAAAGCAAUCGUUAUCUUUGGUUGCGAUAUUCAUAUUGUUGAAUCCUUCAGAUAUUCAUAUUGUUGAAUUCAUUAUCAGUUAUUUUUCCAUUCAUCAUGAUAUAUCCUUAUUGUUGUAUUUAAAUUUGUUGAGCAAACUUGUUGCUUAUCCUUGCUAUAUCAUGAAUAUAUUGCAGCUAAGCCCGAGACCUCAGGGAAGGACAAGGGUAAAGGAGAGAUGUAGAAUAGUGGCAAGAAGCAGGCUUUACCUUGCGCUUAGUUUAAAUUAUUGUUAUGUAAUAUGAAACCUAAUGAUUAUUUUAGGGUAUAUUUGUAAGAUGAUAUUAAGAUUAUCGUACCUUGGGACUAGUAACACCUUUUGAAUGAAUGACGUACGUUUAUUAUAUUUCGCAUUUUAGUUAUCGUAUAUUGUUUAAAGGUGGAUGUUUGUAUUUUAUCGUGAUGACCGAACCGGGGUCAGAGGACAAGGAUUCGGGGGCGUCACACCAGAAACUUAUUAGAAGAUAUGCAUGAUUCAUCAUUGAUCAUACCAUGUCCAACAAGGUACGAUUCCUCCUCUCAGACACACCAUUCCAUUGUGGUGUUCCAGGUGGAGUGAGUUGUGAUAUAAUAUCACACUCCAAUGUCAUCAAAGUCUUGGCUUACGUAUUCACCUCCUCGAUAUAAAUUUAAUGAAAUAAAAAAACCCACCUCUUGUUAACGAACUUAUGGGUCCACAUAUAUCACUAUGUAUAAGUCCCAAUACAUUGCUAGCCCGUUCACUGUGUCCAGUGAAAGGGACUUUAGUCAUCUUGUCUAAUAAACAAGACUCGCAUUUCUCAUAUGAUUCAAAAUCAAAUGAAUCCAAAAACCCAUCUUUAUGGAGUUUGGAUAUGUGUUUCUCAUUUAUAUGGCCUAAACAACAGUGCCAGAGAUAUGUCGGAUUUGAAUCAUUUAAAUCAUUUUGUAUUUAUGUCAUAGAUAAACAUUUCUAAAUCAAGAAUAUAAAGACCAUUAAAUAGUUGUGCAACACCAUAACAUAUUUUAUUUAAGUAAAACGAACAACUGUUGUUCUUUAUUAAAAAUAAAAAACCUUUCUUCUCCAAACAAGAAACAGAAAUAAUAUUAUUGCUCAUAGCAGACACAUAAUAAAAAUCCUCUAAUUCUAAUACUAGCCCAGUGGGCAAAGAUAAAUGAUAAGUUCCUACAACUAGUGCAACAACUUUUGCUUCAUUCCCAACUCGUAGGUCAACCUCUCCUUUCGCCAAAGUCCUCCUUCGAAGUUCCUGCACAUUAACACAAAUGUGAGAAUCACAUCCAGUAUCCAAUACCCAUGAUGUAGAAGUGGACAAAUUGACUUCUAUAACAUUUAUACCUGAAUCAUAAGUCACACUUCCUUUUUUUUCUUCAGUUCUUCCAAAUAAGCAUGACAAUUCCUCUUUCAGUGUCCAGAUUUUUCAUAGAAGUGACAAUCACCUUCUUUAGCCACGUCGCCUUUAGGUUUUAAAGCCUGUUUGAUUUUGGAAUUGGGUUUGGCACCAGAUUUAGAUCCUAUUUUCUUCUUCCCUUUCCCCUUUCCCCUUUCCCCUUUCCCCUUUCCCUUAACAUUCCCCUUUUGCACCAUCAUUAUGGGAGUAGGUCCUACCUUUUUCAUGUUGUUCUCGACAGUUCUCAACAAGCUCAACAACUCAGCAAGUAGUUUCUCAAUUUCAUUCAUGAGGUAAUUCAUAACAAAUUGAGAGUAACUAUUGUUCAAAGAUUGCAAAACAAGAUCAGUUUGAGCUUCCGGAGUAAUCGAAAAACCCAACCUAUCAAGGUACUCAAUAUACCCAAUCAUUUUUAGUACACGUGGACCAACUGGAUCACGUUCACCUAUCUUGCAGUGAUACAAUGCUUUGCUUGUAUCAUACCUUUCCUGUCGAGCAUGCCCUUCGAACAAUUUCUUGAGAUGCUCGAUCAUCUCAUAAGCAUCCAUCUCAUAAGCAUCCAUUAACUCAUGUUGCUUCUGAAGUUCAGAGUUCAUAGUUGCUAGCAUGAGACAACUCACGUCCGGAGCAACAUCUUGAUGCUUCUUGUAAGCAUUAUGCUCUACACGUGGUGCAGUGUUAGCUGGUGCUGUAGGAAUAGGCCCAUCAAGGACAUAUCUUACGCUCUUGUUUGAGGACAAUCCUCCAGUUUAAGAAAUUAAUUCCACUCAGUUUUUUCUUCUCAAGGACUGAUCGUAGUGAAAGAUUAUUUGUGUUGUUAUUUGCCAUUGAUAUCUACAAUUUAUAAGUGCAAAAAUAAUAAGUCAAAUUACAGAGUUUUUGAUAUUAUGUAAUUGAUAAUAGUAAAUUCAAAAUAUAACUAUGACACAUUUUAUUUUGCACUUUAUUUAUGCUUGUAUACAAUAUGAUAAAUAAUAUGCAUUGUGAUAAUUAGGUUAUGAAGCUUUCCUUUUUUUAAUGAAAUCUAUAAAUAUGUAUAUCCAUAACUGUAGUAUAUAUAUAUUUAUUUAGUCAUUCACCACUUUACAUAUGUUAUCACAUAUUAACUCACUAUAUAGCACAAAAUUUUAAAUAUCAAUAAAGUAUAUACAUAUAAAGUGAUUUAAAAUUCCUAAUUAUUACAUGGAUAGCCGACCCUUGUCAUGCUUUAUUUCAUGCAUUAUCACCAAAACAAUUUUUCAAAUCAACAUAAUAAAGAUCUUAUAAAAUACAAAAUCACUUCAGAAAUAGACAAAUUUAAGGUUAAAAAUCAAAUGGCAAAAUAGGGUCUGAACACCGAGUUCUCCAAAUCCUCUCAAGAAGCGUUUUAAUCAAAAUAAAAUUAAAAAUUAAAGUUACGGCUCAAUUAUUAUAAUCAAACCUUUUCAAAUUUGUCGGCGUGUUUGUUAGUCUUUUUUCCUAAAAUCUCACCCUUAAAGAUAAAUUAAUCGAUAUAUCAAAAUAAAAAAAAGGUAUAAACGACACAGGAAACAUUAAUUCCCCCGACGUCAACAUAAAUUCAACUCAAUUCUCAAAUCAAAAUUCAAAAAGUAUUAUCAAUUCAAAAUCAUCUUAAUUUUAAUCUUCAAAUUAAAAAUUCAUCUUCAUUUUCAAUUUCAAAUUUAACUCCAUAACUCAAAUAAAAGCUUUAAAACCCAUAAAUUCAGAAUCCUAAAACUUCAAAUACAAAUUUAGGUUUUCAAUUCAAAUGCAAUUUAAAAAUCUUUAAAUCUUUAAUAUAAAUAUAUAAUUGUUCUAAACAAAUUUUAAUAAAAAUUCUCAAAAAUAUCCAUCAAAACAAUUUAAAAUUUACAGACACGUAGAAUUUUAUUCUUGUUCUUUCAAUGUAAUAUCAUUUUCUUUUCCAAGUGUAAAAAUAAUCAAGAAAUAGUGGAAUGAGAAACAUAUUUAUGGAAUAACACAAAUCACACUUAUGAGAUGACACAGAACACAAUCACUAAUAAAAUGACACAAGCAUGUGACUCACUUUCUAAGACAACCUUUUUAAGUAAAAUAAAAAAUUUAAGAAAUCGCGAAAAUUGUGUUUCUCAAAAGUCCAAGUGCCUGGCUCCUUCAUCCUGCUUAUUAGACAAACACCCAAACUUUUAAAUCUCAAUUAGUAGACCAACUUAAUUGAGUUACAAUUAAUCGGGUUGCUACAUUCAAUUAAAACACUACCAGUUAGCAACAUUGAAAAUUUGACCUAUUAAUUGAAAAAAAUUCAAAACCCCCAUGGAAUCCGUUUUUAAUUGAAAACUUGAAAUUUUUUGACAUAAUCAAAUUCGUUUCUAAUCCUAAUUUUAUAAUAAAAUUCUAUUUUAUUAAUUGAAAACCUAAAACUUUUUGACAUAAUCUCAAAAUCAAACUCCAAACUAGUUGACGGCCAAAAAAUCCAAUUUCUUUCAACCUUUGGUUAUUUUUAGCCCAUUUUUUAUAGUUGAAUUCCAUGUUAUUUCAAUUUUUGCCAACAUCGUAAUCCUUCCAUUCACACUCACCUAUCUGCCAAACAUUGCAAGUAAUUCACUUAUAAGUGAAAGAUUAUCCCGAACAAACACUUUGGAAGAGUUUAUCCAGCUCACAAAAUGUGUAUACAUGGAAAGAAACAAACACGGGUAGACACUUUGCAUAAACAAAACAAUAUAUUAUGAGUACGAUGUUCUUGAUAAGUAAGAUUCUCUAGCAAAAAAUUUAGUGGCCUAGCAGGUCAAAACAGGAAAUUAAAAAAUACCUUAAAAAAAUACAAACUCACCUUUGACCAUCUCUAGCAAGAACCACCAAAUUAUUUAAACAGAAAAAUCAGGGUCGAACAAUCCCGUAAAGCGAACCAUUCUAUAGAGCUCUGCAACGCAGAUAUAAUUUCUCUAACACAAAUAUAAUGAAGUAAUAAUAUUAAAACUAAAUAAAACUAGGAGAUCUGAUUAGAGGAUCAUCAAUAUACCUUUAGGCGGGCAGGCAGGAGGCAUAAAUAAAAUGUAUAAUAAAGUUGCAUCAUCUUUUCUCCUCUUCUUAGCCACUCAAAAAGAGGACAGAAAUGUGUAGAUUGUAGAGAGAUGUAUGGGGGCGGCGGUGAGGGAAGAGGGGAGGGGGAACCCUAAUCUAUAUAAUUAAAAUGAUAGCAAUGAAAAUAACCGUUUUUAUUGUAAAGUGAUUGAUUCCCUCAAUUAUGAGGGAAC
RNAcentral lists this long non-coding RNA (16881 nucleotides) under Panax ginseng (ginseng). Its description in RNAcentral is "long non-coding RNA (PGIN_LNC002251)". The record is from RNAcentral. Lineage: Eukaryota; Viridiplantae; Streptophyta; Magnoliopsida; Apiales; Araliaceae.